Molecule: small nucleolar RNA, 82 nt
Organism: Dipodomys ordii (Ord's kangaroo rat)
Lineage: Eukaryota; Metazoa; Chordata; Mammalia; Rodentia; Heteromyidae
Source: Ensembl
AGUGAUGUCUUUUCUCACUAUGGUCUGUGGAUGCCACAGUGAGCAGUGCCAAUGAUGGCAAAGGCUCAACAGAAACUCAGAG